ACUAUAUAGGUGUUAUACUACUUGGUAUACCACGAAUUAAAUUAUAACCGACUUUAUAGUUUUUGUUUAUCAAUAUUUUAUUACUUUGGCGUCUUUUGCAUCGAAUCUUAACAAAAUCUUUUUUUUAUUCCUAAGCGGAAUAGUGUUAUAAAUACUUACUGAAAACCAACUUAAUGUACUGGAAGAGUUAUCCCCAUCGUUACCACUCUUAACCCGGCACCCGACAUUCGCCGAGCUACACUCCGAUCGUUUACAUCAAGAAAUCUAUUUAUCAACAAAUGUCAGUUGACAGUUGGAAGUUUUAAAAAUGUAUUAUUUUUUUUUUUUUUUUUAAUUACAUAAAGCUAUAAUUUAUAAAUGAUUUUAAAAAAAAUAUGUAUUUACGAUUAUUUGUAAAUUAGAUAAGUCGUUAUUGUAACAGCAUAAAUCGAUCGACACGCACAUGACGUAAUUAUUAUCAACUAAAAUUAUUAUUUAUUAAUUUUCUAUGAAACAUCGGCGAUCGAGUGCAAUUACUCGAACUUUACUAGCUUAAAGCCUAACUGCAACGGUUAGAACAUUUCGAGUUUGUAUAAGGACUAAGGAGUGCACCCUGAAUAAUUUUUGUGAAUUACGUAGUACAAUACGAUAUUCGUCGCCAUGACUAUGAAAUAUUCACAGACAAACGGCACGAACUGCCGAGCGUAUUAUACAUUUUGCUCGACGAAACAUUUUUUAAUCUUUUUAUUUUUUUUUUUAUUUUUUACGCAAUAUUAUUAAUAAUUUAUGCAAUUGAAACCACACAAUUGUUGAACUGAACACAGACCGAGAAAACAUGCGACUGCAACUGGUCGUGUCCGUGGCGUAUACGUAUACACUCGUCGCGCACAUUUAUCGUUUGCCUCUGCGUGUACAACAACCGAAAAGAUUUCGCGGCCGACGCGCGGCGAUAAAUUCUUAGAUUUAUCGCCUCGGCCGCUGUGGUGUUACAGGUUUCUAUUGUUGUCAUAUCUGCGGGAGGAGGGAAAAAUUCAAGUGAAAAUGCCGUCCUUGUUAUCCCACUACCCCCGAAAAAAAAAUGUACGCCACUACAACUGGAGUUAAUAAACUAUUAUAAUACUCAAAAUAAUGAUACCACUUGUGCGUUGUACAUACGUCCUACGGUCCUUAUUACACGGACGUCAACGUACUAAUACGUAUGCCGACCUGGGAUGCUGUAUCUCGAGAAACGUUUUAAUCCACUGUCGUUCCGAGUGGUGUGGUUGGUUCCGUGCUCUGGGGUUAAAUGUGAUGGUUUUGAUGACAAAACGUUUUCGGAUGAAUGGCGCGGGGGGCGGAUGCAGCGGUUCCGGUCGGGUUGUCGCAGAAAAUCGCAUCAGACAACCUACGGGAAGAGAAUAAUCGCAUAUAUUAUAACCGUGUGGGUGUGUUUGUUUAGCGAAAGAAUUUGCGACGGUAACGACAAUAAUACUAUAACAACACGACGACCGAGAUUGUGCCAUUAUUGUACCUAUAUAUUUAUAUGCAUAAUAUUAUUAUGCCGUCGUUUCCGCGUCGUGCACAAAUGCUAAAACUGGGUGAACAACCGGAAUAAUAUUUUAAUUACGAAAAAUUUAAUAUCAGAAUAUAAUAUACAUAAUUAAAAGGAAAGUGUCUGCAGAUAGCGAGAGAGGGAGAGAGUCAGAUAGGAGGAGACGUUGUGUGGAUAAAUAUUGUUUUAUCGCCGCGUCCGUGUCAAUAUUAUACGCGCGUAUACGAUAUAAUAACAAAUAGUUUACAGGACAACGCGGCUCGAUGAAUAAUGCAAAAAAUACGGUAAAUUGCGUACAGAAAGCGCCGCUGUGUUUUCCUGCACAGCGGAAAAGGGAAACACCCAGCCUUUGUGUUAAAAUAAUAUUGUUUAAAUAUGUCAUUUUUGUGUGUAUAAUUAUUAAAAAGUCAAACGAAAAACACCGCUGUGUGAAUUCCUCCAUUGUAACCGGCGAAAUGGCAACAAUAAUAAUAUUAUAUUAUCAUUAUCAUAUUGCUCACAAUAAGUAUAUUAUUAUUAUUAUAAUAUUUUACACUGCUCACUGCGCAGUGACAGCGGCGUACUUUUGGGAUGAUUAUUCACGAUGUCUGACAAACGAAACAAUGAUUUUGUAAAUGUUACGCACUUAAUAUGAUAAGGAAAAACGACUUCACACAAUUCAUUCGUUUUUUUCCUCGAAAAUUAACACCUACACAUUUAACACGGGCUAAGAAUGUAAUUGUGAUUUUUUCAUCAUCUGGAUUUCGUUUUUAAAUUAACGUUUUUCAUUGUAAUCUUCCAAACGUCUUCUAGUUAACAAAUUACAGCAAAGAAAUAGCGAUUUUUAUUUUAAGCAGUUUGUAUCACCGGAGGAUUUAUUCAUUAAGGCCUUAAAUGGCUUAAAAAAUUUAAGUAUUUCGACGUGAGAUCCUUAAGAACCUAGGCAUAUAAACAACCAGAAUUCGAAUAAAUUAAUUAACAGAAUAAAACACGGGGAUGAGUAUGCUUAGAGAAUCACCCUGUAUACAUACAUAAUACAUCACGUAUAUUAUCUUUAACGCCUCGAGGCUAAUAAUCGUCAUGUACACACGAUUCAAUUGUGCAUGCUCUGAUCGCGCGCACAUUGUUAUAUCGGCCGACUAAAAAGUCAAGUAUAAUAAAUUGAUAAUAUACAUAUAUAUAUAUAUAUAUAUAUAUAUAUUAUAUAUUAUGAGUGUGCACACGAUGACUAAACAAUAUAUAUACAUAUAUAGUGCUUAUAUGUUUUAAAACAAAAAGUUCUGGCGGUGUGUCCAAAACUUUGCCUGGAGCUCUUUGUCUUUCCGUCUCCUUUUCUUAAUCCGACUAUAUAUCUAUGUGCUCGUGUAUUUUAAGAUCCGAGAUUCCGGUAUAAUCGUUGUCGAGACUUUAUGUAUGUAUUGUUAUUCUAAUAACAAUCUAAUCGAAACGUAUCGGAUACCGUUCAACGGUUUCAAGGGGAUGUGUAAUAAAAAUAUUAUAAAAUCAAACAAACAAAUAUAAUAUCUAUCACGUUUGAUGUUUAUUGUAUACAGAGGUCUCAAACCAAUUUCGUCACACGUUCGAUAAAACAUUUUUAUAACACUGUUUAGUUUUAGUGGCAUUUGGCGUAGAUAUUUUUUUUGUUUUUUAAAAGGAUGUGAUUUAAUAGUCACUUGAGUAUUUUAAUUUUAUUACUAAUAGUAUUAUACGUAUUACGUACAUUGCAGUAGUAUACUGUGUACAAUGUGUACACUGUACAUAUACAUAUUAUAUGUAUAACAUUAUUAGGGCAUUUGACAGAGCGUGUUUUAAGGACUUUUGAAAUACGCUUCUCAAGUGCCUUCAAACUGCCUCCUUAAUUGCAGCUGAUAAUAUGGUUAGAUAUUGAACAAUAUAUGUACUACCGCUUUUUAAAAAGUGUUCAUCUCAAUAUUGUUACUUUUACUCAUACAUAAAUAGGUUAGGUUAGGUAUGUUAAAGGCAUAAGAUGUGAACUCUUCGUGGUGUAUACUAAUAAAAAUUAAUCAAUUUUCUAUAAUAAAUUAUUCAAAUUAAUCUAUUGUAAAUAAUUUGUGACAUAACGUGUUCAAUAUUUUUACUGUCCAUCAUAAUAGUGAAUUUUUUUUCGGGCGUUUAUUUUUAGUAUUGUUUGCUUCUAUAGUAUAAUUGGUUUAUAUCUAUUUAAAAUACGAUCGCUUUGCGUUAUAUUACAUUUUUUAAUUAACGCAUUGUAAUGAAAUGAAGUCCUGUAUGCAUCGUAACAGAAACAAAACAAUCAAAAACUAUGAACCCGCGCAUAAAAUAAUAUAUAAUAUGUGUUUUGUAUUUUAUUACAAAAAUUAAAUGUUUUAUCGGGGCAAUAUCAUUGUUGAAAAUAAUUUAACUACUACUUUUAAAACGUUGAACGAAUUUUGUUUUUAGAGUUCCCUCACGUCGUAAAAUAUUAUUUUAUUCUUUAAAUGAUACAUUAACAUAUUAAAUAUUGCAAUACUCGCAAGAACCGAUGAAAAGGCAUAUUAAUUAUACAUACACAUUGCAGUCUAACCUAAAUUGACGUUUGGUUU
Molecule: long non-coding RNA, 4053 nt
Organism: Aphis gossypii (cotton aphid)
Lineage: Eukaryota; Metazoa; Arthropoda; Insecta; Hemiptera; Aphididae
Exons: 3
Source: RefSeq, a predicted model, not a curated record